RNAcentral lists this ribosomal RNA (253 nucleotides) under uncultured bacterium. RNAcentral describes it as "partial 16S ribosomal RNA". It matches the Rfam family "Bacterial small subunit ribosomal RNA", at positions 524 to 776 of the family's 1533-position model. The record is from RNAcentral.
UACAGAGGGGGCAAGCGUUGUUCGGAAUUACUGGGCGUAAAGGGCGCGUAGGCGGCCUUGUAAGUCUCGUGUGAAAGCCCUCGGCUUAACUGAGGAUCUGCACGGGAUACUGCGAGGCUUGAGUUCGGGAGAGGAAAGCGGAAUUCCGGGUGUAGCGGUGAAAUGCGUAGAUAUCUGGAGGAAUACCGGUGGCGAAGGCGGCAUCCUGGACCGAGAUUGACACUGAUGAGCGAAAGCCAGGGGAGCAAACGGG